UCUGUUCCUUUUUUUCCCUCCUCCUCUUUAUUACGUAUGGUGCAAGCGUUAUCCGGAUUUACUGGGUGUAAAGGGAGCGUAGACGGAGUGGCAAGUCUGAUGUGAAAACCCGGGGCUCAACCCCGGGACUGCAUUGGAAACUGUCAAUCUAGAGUACCGGAGAGGUAAGCGGAAUUCCUAGUGUAGCGGUGAAAUGCGUAGAUAUUAGGAGGAACACCAGUGGCGAAGGCGGCUUACUGGACGGUAACUGACGUUGAGGCUCGAAAGCGUGGGGAGCAAACAGG
This 284-nucleotide ribosomal RNA is filed under the name Mediterraneibacter faecis JCM 15917. Its description in RNAcentral is "[Ruminococcus] faecis JCM 15917 partial 16S ribosomal RNA". It matches the Rfam family "Bacterial small subunit ribosomal RNA", at positions 502 to 776 of the family's 1533-position model. Lineage: Bacteria; Bacillati; Bacillota; Clostridia; Lachnospirales; Lachnospiraceae. The record is from RNAcentral.